This 1932-nucleotide ribosomal RNA is filed under the name Triticum aestivum (bread wheat). RNAcentral describes it as "partial small subunit ribosomal RNA". Lineage: Eukaryota; Viridiplantae; Streptophyta; Magnoliopsida; Poales; Poaceae. The record is from RNAcentral.
AUGAGGGCCGCCGCCGGGGCAUGCUCCGGCGGCGGCAAGGACACCCUGGUGGCCUCCUUCCUCCGCUUCAUCCUCCUCUUGCUUCUCCCUCUCACCGCUCUGUAUAUCCUCUACGCCCUGCACGCCAUUCUGUCCUCCUCGUGCCCGCCUGAACAUGAUCGCCUCAUGGCCGCCGCCUUCGUCUCACACGUCACCGCCCACAACCAUACAUCGUCGACGCCGCCGCCUCCUGCCAUGGUCACGGUAUCGACGCCGAGGACGCCGCCUCCACUGGCCAUUGACACGGUGCCGACAGCGAGGAUGACGCCCGCCACGGUCACGGUGGUGUCGACGGCGAGGAUGCCUCCACCACCCGCUACGGUCACGGUGGUGACGAGGGCGACGAUGCCACCACCACCCGCCACGGUCACGGUGACGACGGCGAGGAUGCCACGUCCACCCGCCACGGUCAUGGUGAAGACGGCGAGGAUGCCACCACCACCCGCCACGGUCACGGUGACGAGGGCGAGGAUGCCACCAUCACCCGCUGCGGUCACGGUGGUGUCGACGGCGAGGGUGCCACCACGACCCGCCACGGUCACGUUGGUGUCGACAGCAAGUACGCCACCACCAUCACCACCUGCCACGGUGACGGUGUCGACGACGCCGACGACGCUGCAGCACGUGGUGUUCGGCAUCGCGGCGUCGGCGCGCAUGUGGGAGAAGCGGAAGGAGUACAUUAAGAUCUGGUGGCGCCCUAACUCAGGCAUGCGGGGGUUCGUGUGGCUGGACCGAGGGGUGCGGGGGUCGAGGGUGCCGGAGGGGCUGCCGGCCAUCAAGAUAUCCUCUGACACCUCCGGCUUCCCCUACACGCACCGGCGCGGCCACCGCUCUGCCAUCCGCAUUUCCCGCAUCGUCUCCGAGACCUUCCGCCUUGGGCUCCCAGGAGUGCGCUGGUUCGUCAUGGGCGACGACGACACGGUUUUCCUCCCAGACAACCUCCUCGCCGUCCUCGGAAGGCUCGACCACCGGCAGCCAUACUACGUCGGCUCCCCCUCCGAGAGCCACCUGCAGAACAUCUUCUUCUCGUACGGGAUGGCGUUCGGCGGCGGCGGCUUCGCCAUCAGCCAGCCACUGGCGGCGAGGCUGGAGCGGAUGCAGGACGCCUGCAUCCGCCGGUACCCGUGGCUGUACGGGAGCGACGACCGGAUCCAGGCGUGCAUGGCGGAGCUGGGCGUGCCGCUCACGAGGCACCCGGGGUUCCACCAGUACGACGUGUACGGUGACCUCCUGGGCCUCCUCGCCGCCCACCCGGUGGCGCCGCUGGUGUCGCUGCACCACCUCGACGUAGUGCGGCCUCUCUUCCCCAACGUGCGCUCGCGCCCGGCGGCUCUGCGGAGGCUGUUCGACGGGCCGGUGACGCUGGACUCGGCGGGGGUGAUGCAGCAGUCGAUAUGCUACGACGCGGCGAACCGGUGGACGGUGACGGUGGCGUGGGGGUUCGUGGUGACGGUGACGAGGGGCGUGAUGCCGGCGCGGGAGAUGGAGAUGCCGACGCGGACGUUCCUGAACUGGUACCGGCGCGCGGACUACAAGGCGCACGCGUUCAACACUCGGCCCCUGGCGCGCAACCAGUGCGAGAGGCCCGCGCUCUACUACCUGGCGUCGGCGCGGCGCACGGUGGUGCGCACCGGGGAGACCACCGUGACGAGGUACCAGCGGUGGCGCCACCGCAACGACGUACGGCCGCCUUGCCAGUGGAGGAUCCCCGACCCGGACGCGCUGCUCGACAGCGUCAUCGUGCUCAAGAAGCCUGACCCCGGGCUAUGGGACCGGUCGCCGAUGCGGAAUUGCUGCAGGGUGCUGUCCUCUCCGAGGAAAGAAGGGGGCGGGAACAAGACGAUGACCAUAGACGUGGGUGUAUGCAAGGACUGGGAGUACAGUCAAGUAUAG